GGUUGACCUCGGAUCAGGUAGGGAUACCCGCUGAACUUAAGCAUAUCAAUAAGCGGAGGAAAAGAAACCAACAGGGAUUGCCUCAGUAACGGCGAGUGAAGCGGCAAGAGCUCAAAUUUGAAAGCUGGCCCCCUCGGGGCCCGCGUUGUAAUUUGCAGAGGAUGCUUCGGGUGCAGCCCCCGUCUAAGUGCCCUGGAACGGGCCGUCAUAGAGGGUGAGAAUCCCGUCUGGGACGGGGUGUCUGCGUCCGUGUGAAGCUCCUUCGACGAGUCGAGUUGUUUGGGAAUGCAGCUCUAAAUGGGUGGUAAAUUUCAUCUAAAGCUAAAUACUGGCCGGAGACCGAUAGCGCACAAGUAGAGUGAUCGAAAGAUGAAAAGCACUUUGAAAAGAGAGUUAAACAGCACGUGAAAUUGUUGAAAGGGAAGCGUUUGCGACCAGACUCGCCCGCGGGGUUCAGCCGGCACUCGUGCCGGUGUACUUCCCCGUGGGCGGGCCAGCGUCGGUUUGGGCGGCCGGUCAAAGGCCCUCGGAAUGUAUCACCUCUCGGGGUGUCUUAUAGCCGAGGGUGCAAUGCGGCCUGCCCGGACCGAGGAACGCGCUUCGGCUCGGACGCUGGCGUAAUGGUCGUAAAUGACC
This 636-nucleotide ribosomal RNA is filed under the name Aspergillus australiensis. RNAcentral's name for it is "eukaryotic LSU rRNA". It matches the Rfam family "Eukaryotic large subunit ribosomal RNA", at positions 1 to 649 of the family's 3401-position model. Lineage: Eukaryota; Fungi; Ascomycota; Eurotiomycetes; Eurotiales; Aspergillaceae. The record is from RNAcentral.